UAGUGCUAAGAAGAAUGAUUGAACAAUUAUAGGCUUUCUUUAGUUAAAUAAUUAAAUUUAAUUUUUUUAGUGCAAAAGCAAAAAUUAAAUUUAGGGACAAGAAGACCCUAUGAAUUUUAAUUUAAUUUAUAAUUUGAAAUUUUAAAUUAAAUUUGAUUGGGGCGAUGGAAAAAGAAUGAGUAUCUUUUUUAGUUUUAAAAAUUGGUUCCGUUUUUAACGAUUAAAUGAGAAAAAUACUCUAGGGAUAACAGCGUAAUAAUUUAA
This 264-nucleotide ribosomal RNA is filed under the name Ixodes persulcatus (taiga tick). RNAcentral's name for it is "partial large subunit ribosomal RNA". Lineage: Eukaryota; Metazoa; Arthropoda; Arachnida; Ixodida; Ixodidae. The record is from RNAcentral.